Long non-coding RNA from Synchiropus splendidus (mandarinfish), 723 nucleotides. RefSeq lists it as uncharacterized. NCBI's taxonomy places the organism in Eukaryota, Metazoa, Chordata, Actinopteri, Syngnathiformes, Callionymidae. The record is from RefSeq and is a predicted model, not a curated record. The transcript is spliced from 3 exons.
AGAAUACACAGGAGUGAAAAACAAAAAACAAAAAGAAGAAAACCAUUUGUUUAACAAAGAUUAGAGACAGCAAAGCGACGAGGACAUGGUCAUUUUGAAUCUCAUCCGAAUGGUGGACCAGUGGAUGAGAUGGCCUCUACGUCUACUACAAGUGCGCUGGAGAUGGGUGGGUAUAUGUGAGUCACUGCAUACAUGAAUUGGUGUUAAUUCGCUGUAAAACAAUAUGCAGUUUAUUUUCCAAAUCGCAUGUAUUGCUUGAAUAGUGUAACAUUUUUUCUUUUAACAUGCUUUAAAUUGUUUUACAGAUCAGAGGUAAGAGGUUUGUGACAAAAAAAAGAAGCGAUAAAAAAGUACGUUUGGAGUGUGUGUCUGUGUGUGAGCUGUUGAACGGCUGAUGAGAUGCCGUGGAACAGAAUCUUUAUUUUCAGCAAUCUGCAUUGACCCCUGGUACAAGAUUCCAUGUUUGUGAACAAUAACAAGACUUAUCUCUCGCUGCAUGGUUGUUCUCAUGACACCCUCGAAACAUUCGCCGUCAAGCGUCUGCUAAGAGAAAGAGUGAGAAGGGUCAGCGUCAAAAAUGGUAAGACUGAAGUCAUAGCCGCGCUGAUCAUCGCUGGUCCUCUCGCAGAGACCAGUCGGCCGCUCUCACCUCAGCUCCCGCCAAUCACGUAGAAAGAAAACUUUGUAUCUAAAACUAUGCAUCUAAACCAAAGUCUAGCUUGA